UCAGCGACUUAUAUUCUGUAGCAAGGUUAACCGAAUAGGGGAGCCGAAGGGAAACCGAGUCUUAACUGGGCGUUAAGUUGCAGGGUAUAGACCCGAAACCCGGUGAUCUAGCCAUGGGCAGGUUGAAGGUUGGGUAACACUAACUGGAGGACCGAACCGACUAAUGUUGAAAAAUUAGCGGAUGACUUGUGGCUGGGGGUGAAAGGCCAAUCAAACCGGGAGAUAGCUGGUUCUCCCCGAAAGCUAUUUAGGUAGCGCCUCGUGAAUUCAUCUCCGGGGGUAGAGCACUGUUUCGGCAAGGGGGUCAUCCCGACUUACCAACCCGAUGCAAACUGCGAAUACCGGAGAAUGUUAUCACGGGAGACACACGGCGGGUGCUAACGUCCGUCGUGAAGAGGGAAACAACCCAGACCGCCAGCUAAGGUCCCAAAGUCAUGGUUAAGUGGGAAACGAUGUGGGAAGGCCCAGACAGCCAGGAUGUUGGCUUAGAAGCAGCCAUCAUUUAAAGAAAGCGUAAUAGCUCACUGGUCGAGUCGGCCUGCGCGGAAGAUGUAACGGGGCUAAACCAUGCAC
RNAcentral lists this ribosomal RNA (573 nucleotides) under Escherichia coli. RNAcentral's name for it is "partial 23S ribosomal RNA". It matches the Rfam family "Bacterial large subunit ribosomal RNA", at positions 620 to 1194 of the family's 2925-position model. Lineage: Bacteria; Pseudomonadati; Pseudomonadota; Gammaproteobacteria; Enterobacterales; Enterobacteriaceae. The record is from RNAcentral.